AAAAUGGUGAUUUAAGUUGUUCUCAAUUAUCGUUUAACUAACAUGGAAAUGAUGGAAUGUAACCCAGUCUGUACGUUACAUAUAUAUUGAAAAACAAAUACUAGAAAUUCAAUAGAAGAUAAACUUUUUGUUAAAUUUUUUUGUAUAGCAAUAUAUUUAGAAAAUAAUUUAAAUAUCUAUGAAUUACUUGGUAGUCAAUUUAAGAAAUUGUUUAACCGUUGGAUUAUUCCUAAUUAAAU
RNAcentral lists this long non-coding RNA (239 nucleotides) under Vigna radiata. Its description in RNAcentral is "long non-coding RNA (VRAD_LNC004046)". Lineage: Eukaryota; Viridiplantae; Streptophyta; Magnoliopsida; Fabales; Fabaceae. The record is from RNAcentral.